GCUGGGCAUGGUGAUGUGUGCCUGUAGUUCCAGCUACUCAGGAGGCUAAGAUGGGAGGAUUGCUUGAGCCCAGGAGGUCAAGGCUGCAGUGAGCCAAGAUUGUGCCACUGUACUCCAGCCUGGGCAACAGAGUGAGACCCUGUCUCAA
This 148-nucleotide non-coding RNA is filed under the name Nomascus leucogenys (northern white-cheeked gibbon). Lineage: Eukaryota; Metazoa; Chordata; Mammalia; Primates; Hylobatidae. The record is from Rfam by way of RNAcentral.